GCCAGCAGCCGCGGUAAUUCCAGCUCCAAUAGCGUAUAUUAAAGUUGUUGCGGUUAAAAAGCUCGUAGUUGGAUCUCGGCGGGCAGGGGGUGGUUCGCUCUUCAGCGCUACUGCCCCGCUUUGCCCGUGUGAUUGGCGGAGGUUUCGGGGUGCUCUUCGUUGAGUGACUCGGAGCGCCGUCAGGUUUACUUUGAAAAAAUUAGAGUGCUCAAAGCAGGCUUUUCACGCUUGAAUAUUCGUGCAUGGAAUAAUGGAAUAGGAACUCGUUUCUAUUUUGUUGGUUUUCGGAAAUCGAGUUAAUGAUUAACAGGGACAAUUGGGGGCAUUAGUAUUCAGACGACAGAGGUGAAAUUCUUGGACCGUCUGAAGACUGACUACUGCGAAAGCAUUUGCCAAGAGUGUUUUCAUUAAUCAAGAACGAAAGUUAGAGGUUCGAAGGCGAUCAGAUACCGCCCUAGUUCUAACCAUAAACGAUGCCAGCUAGCGAUCUGCCGAGUUUUUUUUGUAGGCUCCGCAGGAAGCUUUCGGGAAACCAAAGCUUUUGGGUUCCGGGGGAAGUAUGGUUGCAAAGCUGAAACUUAAAGGAAUUGACGGAAGGGCACCACCAGGAGUGGAGCCUGCGGCUUAAUUUGACUCAACACGGGAAAUCUCACCAGGCCCGGACACUGGAAGGAUUGACAGAUUGAUAGCUCUUUCUUGAUUCGGUGGGUGGUGGUGCAUGGCCGUUCUUAGUUGGUGGAGUGAUUUGUCUGGUUAAUUCCGAUAACGAACGAGACUCUGUCCUGCUAAAUAGUUUCUACUUCUCUUUUGAGUAGAAAUUUCUUCUUAGAGGGACUGGUGACUCUUAGUCACACGAGAUUGAGCAAUAACAGGUCUGUGAU
RNAcentral lists this ribosomal RNA (881 nucleotides) under uncultured eukaryote. Its description in RNAcentral is "SSU rRNA". It matches the Rfam family "Eukaryotic small subunit ribosomal RNA", at positions 566 to 1468 of the family's 1831-position model. The record is from RNAcentral.